Molecule: long non-coding RNA, 1492 nt
Filed under: Medicago truncatula (barrel medic)
Lineage: Eukaryota; Viridiplantae; Streptophyta; Magnoliopsida; Fabales; Fabaceae
Description: lncRNA gene32920
Source: RNAcentral
UUUCUCUUAACUUUCUUUCCUUCAACAAUUUACUAUUUUUCCCCACACUUUCUUUUUCAAGCCAAACACACCCUAAAAUUUUCCACAUUUUUCUACACUCUUCUCUCACAAAAAUCAGAACAUCCCUCUUCUCUCUUCCCCCUCUCUCACGUGUUCCUUUCUUUCACUCCCACCAUUACCUAUUUCACUUUUGUAGCAAAAUCAAGCUAGAAAUGACAUUUCAAGUUGUAGAAAAGUGAUUUUUGUGUUGUGUUUUGAGCAUUAGAGGCAAGCUUGAGCAAGAAACAAGAAUAUUGAAGCUAGGGUUUGGCUUGGCAAGAAGAUUGAGGCAGGGGCUGAAUGUAAGUAUAAGUGAUUAAUAGCUUAAAUUGAGGUAAAAGUGAUUAUUUUGAGAAGCAAUUCAAGUUAUGUUGAUUGAUUAGAUGUAUAAGUUGUUACUGACUUUGGGAUUCUAUGAUGAAUCUGUUUUUGGGCUGUUAGUAGUAUAAAUUUUGUCGUUGUUGCUGUUUGGAAUGAAAAGCUAAAAGUUAAAAGCCAUAAGUUGUUCCAAAAGCUUCCGUAGUUGAUUAUUGGGUUAAAUAUGUUAGAAUUUAUUUAUUACUGGUGUAGGAGCUGUGUAUACAUAUUUUAUUUGAUUCUGGAAAAUUUGAGUUGAAAUUGAAUUGUCUAGAGGUCAUAAGCUGUCAGUAAGCUGUUUUGGGAAUUUUGCCUUAAAUGACUAAGUUGUGGAUUAACCUUCUGUAUAAGUGGUUCAUGGGGCUGAGUAUAUAUGUUGGAACAUCUUUGCUGAAUGCUUGGUCGAAAUUAAUUUGAUAGAAGCCAUAAGCUGCUAGUUAAGCUGUUUGGAAGUGCUUAAAUAGCCAAACGACGUACUUCUGGUGCAAGGACUGAAAUUGAAAUUUUUGUGUAUGCUGGUUGAUGAAGUAAGAGUACAUCACAAAUGAGUUGAGUUGUUUUGGAAAGAGCAAGACCUAUAAGCCAAGACAUAAGCUAUUUUGGAAAAUGGAUUAUGGAGUUUUGGACUAGCAAAAGCUGCAAAUUUUGGAUAAGCUGCUUGCAAUUUCGGGACUAAUUCCAAGAAAUAACACUUGGAAAGGGUGGACAAUUAGCUAGAGCGGCUGGUGCUGUAGCGAAAUUGAUUGCAAAAGAGGGGAAAUCGGCAACAUUAAAAUUACCUUCUGGAGAGAUCGUUUGAUAUCAAAAAACUGCUCAGCAACAGUAGGACAAGUAGGGAAUGUUGGAGUAAACCAAAAAAGUUUGGGCAGAGCCAGAGCUAAACGUUGGUUAGGUAAGCGCUCAGUUGACAAAAUGCAUGUCUAUUAAACUUGUUUAUGAUUGAUGAUUUAGGAGAAUAUUUUGAUACGUGAUAAGUGAGUCAUAUAUGUAUGAAGAAAAAAAAGCACAAACUUUGGUCUGCAAUAGAUGAAAUAUGUGAGAAUGCAAAUAAAGGAACUAAUAGUUAAGGUUUCAAAUUAGAAAGGCAAGAAAGUUU